AAAACAAGAACCAAAGGAAGAACAAAGAAAGAAAAAAAAGAACACAAACCCUAGGUGGGAAAAUUGAAGAAAAAGUGUGGGAUUUCAAGGGAUUAAGCUAAUAAAGGUAAAAUUUUAUGAUUUUAUCUUGUGAUUUUUAUUACCCAUGCUUUCUUUUUCAUAUUCCGUGCUUAGAACUCAAGUUUGCAUGAUUAACCCAUGUUGGCCGAAUUUGAGAGGAGAGGUUUUGAGCAUUGAUUUUGCUAGAUUUCAAGUUAAUUAAGUGCUUUUGGUUGUUUGGUAAUGGAAAGUAUGAAAAUCUAGCAAGGAAUCACUUUGUUCUUCACAAACCCACAAGAGGCCAAAUUUUCUUGGGAGGAUAUUGAGGUUGAAAUUGAUGAUAUUUCAUGAUAUUUUGGUGGUAUUUAAUGAUUAGUGAGGCUAGAAAUUUAAUGGAAAAUUUUGACAUGAAAAUCUAAAUUUUUACCUAAUGUAUAGACAUGUGCGAUUUAUGGUUCAAACUGAUAAAUUGAAUCAUAUUCACAGUCAUUGAGGUAUUUUAAGUAUAAUUGGAGUGUAGAAAGUGAAAGAAAUCGAUUUGGAAUUAAAUUGGAGGUUUUAGCCAAUUACACCGAGAAUAGUGCGAAUUAGGUUGAAUACCGUAUUUAAACGGCUAUUCAGACAUUUUGCAUCACAUUUCGUGCAUUCAUAUAGAUUUAUAGAGCUUGAAAUAGUUUAUGAUAAAUUGACACAAAUUAUUGAAAUUCGUGUCACGUAUGAUGUAUAGGUGGUGAAUCCUCCGCUAAGGGCAAAGAAAUUGUACCCGAGGAUCGAUAGUCAAAGUACUAUAGAAAUUCGACUCCCAAAAUAGUGAGUAACCUUAUCAUCAUUUUAAUUAUCUAAAGUGGUCUUUUUAUUCAAUUUUGUGAAAUUUAUGAAAAAUGAGUUCAAAUGGUAAAUUUUUAGGUUUUAUAAACAAAAUGUGUUUAAAUGAAAAGAUUUUAUAAAUUGUCUUAAAAUUGAAUGAUGGCUUUGAAAAUAGAGUAACUGGAUACCACUUGAUGUGUUGUAAUUUAUGAUUCUAAUUGAUGGCUUAUGAUAAUGUGUUGGCAUGACUGAUUGGAAUUGUGAUUUGUGAACUGUAUGAAUUGUUCUGUUUUACAUUUACAGGCUGGGUAGUAUAAUAUUAGUCAUGUCAUGUUGUCAAAAUUUUAUUGUAUGGUGGGUUUAGCUUGCUGCAGUGGGUGGGUACUGUGGACUAGCCUUUUUGAGGGGCACGGAAUCCGAUUAUAUAUGUACCUCGGUCAGAGAGGCGCGUAGGGUAUCUCAUGAGGUAUGGCUAGAGUUCAUGUCACACCGAACCACCUCGUGAUGAUGAACUCUGCUAACGCCAAGGAACGGCUGUGUUUUUAAAAUAAAAACAUGUUUACGUGUAUACAAACUUUUUAACAACCUUGGCAGGCUCGGUUAAAUACCUCGGCCAAGGUAUUCUCGAGAAUGAUUUUGGCAGGAGCCAAGCUUUUAUGAUACUCAUAAGCCAUGUUGAUUAUUUAAAUGAAAUGAAUAUUUAUGUUAUGAAUUACAUAUUGAGAUGGAAUAUUUUAAUCGUCUCCAUUUACUCGACUUUAGAUUUUUUAAAUAGUGUUUGUUUACUCACUGGGAUUAUAUAAUCUCACCACCCUCUUUUCCACCCAUUUCAGGUUCAGAAUAAGCUGUAGAUAGCUAAUUUCAUCGAGGGCUAUCAUUGGAUUUGCAUUCUCUAAACUGUAGGUUCACAGUCUUUUCUUAUUUUUGGUUAUUCGGGGGCCCACUAGUUAUUGUAAAUUAAGUUAAAUACUCUGACUUACUGUAUUACAGUAUGUAUGAAUUUAUUUAGCUUUUACGCUACAAAAAUUAUUUACCGG
RNAcentral lists this long non-coding RNA (1883 nucleotides) under Theobroma cacao (cacao). RNAcentral describes it as "long non-coding RNA (TCAC_LNC001130)". The record is from RNAcentral. Lineage: Eukaryota; Viridiplantae; Streptophyta; Magnoliopsida; Malvales; Malvaceae.